Molecule: transfer RNA, 19 nt
Filed under: Utricularia gibba
Lineage: Eukaryota; Viridiplantae; Streptophyta; Magnoliopsida; Lamiales; Lentibulariaceae
Also listed under: 10 other names
Description: partial tRNA-Phe
Source: RNAcentral
GUCGGGAUAGCUCAGUUGG